This is a long non-coding RNA of Alexandromys fortis (reed vole), 1943 nucleotides long. RefSeq lists it as uncharacterized. NCBI's taxonomy places the organism in Eukaryota, Metazoa, Chordata, Mammalia, Rodentia, Cricetidae. The record is from RefSeq and is a predicted model, not a curated record. The transcript is spliced from 6 exons.
CCAUGAUUCUCCCACUCCAGACAGAUGCAGGUUAAGAUCCUCCCUGAGCUGCAAGCAAGAGACAAGAGAGGUGGUGUGAACAGUAGCCAUUGUCCUCCUCCCUGCAAAGGAUCCAUCUGUUAAUGGACACUGUGAUGUCAUGAAAGCCUAUGAAGUACGUUUUGCUGAUGGUAAACCAAUGACACCAGGAAGAGGGCUUCCCUGCCAGGCCUCAGGCAUGCAUAUGUGAAAAGGAAAGGGACAGAGCUUCCUCCUAAACUCAGUCUCCAAAGGGGAAUGAAGAGCCCAGCUGACGUGAUGGAAUCACAGCUGUCCAGCAAACUGACUCCUGUCCACAGGAGACAGGGUGAUAAUACAGAAAUAGAUGCCACAAUGUGCCGUUUCUUGGUCAUUCCCUCGAGUAGAUCCAACAACGUGUACAGAAGUACAAUGUACAGUGUACAUUGCUCUUAGAGUUUAUUUACUUUUCUCCAAGGCUCCAGGGAGCUCCAUGGGGCCUGCAUGAGUGGGUUAAGAAUUCAAGCAGAAAGCUUCCAUUUUUAAGUAAUUUUACAGAAGGAAAGACUCUGAAAAUUUGGAAACCAGAAUGGACUACUCUUGGAGUCCAUCAUGUAAAGAACUAAUCAACUGAAAGGGGAUAGUUCCACAAGGAAUGAUUGGUGAGGGCAUCGGGGAUGUUAACGCUGCAGUUUGCAUCUCCUACUUUCUCUCUUUAAGCUAACCAGCGCAGGGAGCUCUUCCUCAUCAGGAUGAGCAUGACUGUCUCUCCUGAAAUCAGUCAGAUGCUGCAGCAUUGCCACCAGUCUGUCAUCAUCAUCAUCAACAUCAUCACCACCAUCAUCAUCAUUAUCAUCACCACCAUCAUCAUCAUCUUCAUCAUCACCACCACUAUCACCAUCAUCAUCAUCACCACCACCACCAUCACCAUCAUCACCAUCAUCAUCGUCUUCCUCCACUGGCUUCCCACUAUAGGAGCACAGUAGAACAUAAUAUUUUUCUUUUAUUUCUUGGCAGGUUCCUACAAUACACCCUAUUGUGAUUACACUCCCACUGCCCUCGUUAUGUUCUGCUAUUCCUCCACUCCUUCCCACCCAGUCCAUGUGAGACUGUACCAUUAGAAAAACCAACACCUUCUCCUCCAGCAAAUGUCAGCAGUUAUCAGCUCCUUAGGAGGGGAUGUGGCUUCAUAUGCACCUGCCCCGGCCCAUGAUGGGAAGGUGGAGGGCCCAAUCUCAUGGUAUGGAGCCGAUGGCUUUGUGUAUGCUCAGCAUGUGCCUGACUGCUGAGCGACACCUGCAAGCUGACUGGGGUCGCCUCUGUUCUUCUCUACUGCCAGCGGCCAGAGACCUGCUGGAGCUCGUGAAGGGACUAGUCCUGCAGAACAACUCUCUAUCCUUGGAGCAACCAUGGGAUAUCCCAGAGGAGGUUGGAUGAGGAUCCAGUGAUGACUGUACCAGGAGCCAGAGGCCUUCGACCAGACAGUGACUCAUCAUAAGUGAACAUUAGCUAGUAAAGCUGAUUGGACAAAGUGUGCACUGUGUGACACUCUGCUCCCAAUGCCACCGGGACCAGUAAAGAGGAGGAAAGAAGGAGAAGUGAAGGACUUUUUUGUUUGUUUGUUUUGCUUUGUUCAUGUUUUUGUUUGUUUGCUUUCUUUGUUUUGUUUAGGUUUGAAAUUUUCUUUCGGGGGGAGGGGCACUGCAGGAGUAAGGGGAGGACCCGCUCUUGCACCAUAUCCACAGCAAAAGGAUGCUCAACUGCAUCCAAUUAAACAAACAAACAAAAAAAAAAAAACACCACUGCCUCUUUCUCCCCCCACCCCACAAAGAACAACAACAACAACAAAACUCCAAAUUUACCCACAUUUAUGAAGGCAAACACUGGCUCUGGCAUCUCCCAGCUGGCACUGGGUGGUGAGAACUCUGCGCUGUGCCGUCGGUUCU